AUAUUCCUACGGGGCGCAGCAGUGGGGAAUAUUGCACAAUGGGGGAAACCCUGAUGCAGCGACGCCGCGUGAGUGAAGAAGUAUUUCGGUAUGUAAAGCUCUAUCAGCAGGAACGAGACAAGACGGUACCUGACUAAGAAGCCCCGGCUAACUACGUGCCAGCAGCCGCGGUAAUACGUAGGGGGCAAGCGUUAUCCGGAUUUACUGGGUGUAAAGGGGGCGCAGACGGCAGCGCAAGCCAGGAGUGAAAGCCCGGGGCCCAACCCCGGGACUGCUCUUGGAACUGCGCGGCUGGAGUGCAGGAG
RNAcentral lists this ribosomal RNA (305 nucleotides) under uncultured bacterium. Its description in RNAcentral is "bacterial SSU rRNA". It matches the Rfam family "Bacterial small subunit ribosomal RNA", at positions 333 to 654 of the family's 1533-position model. The record is from RNAcentral.